UACAUCUCACCAAUCCAUACAUUUUCAUCUCUUAGCCGUGCAAAUCCAUUCCAUCCAUAUAUCCAUUUAGCCACUCCCCUUUCUUGUGCCGCAACAAGGUGGUGAAAAAAGAAGGUCCUUGGCGUUUCAAGGUUGAAGAUUGGAGCGUUUUAGGUGUACUUCGUUCUUGCUUUCAAUGUCUACUUUGUUAUUUUCUGAUUUUGUUGCAACUAUGAGUGGCUAAACCCCUAUUUAGUUAGGGGGAAGUUUGAAGCCAUGAAC
This 261-nucleotide long non-coding RNA is filed under the name Malus domestica (apple). RNAcentral's name for it is "long non-coding RNA (MDOM_LNC019124)". The record is from RNAcentral. Lineage: Eukaryota; Viridiplantae; Streptophyta; Magnoliopsida; Rosales; Rosaceae.